RNAcentral lists this ribosomal RNA (211 nucleotides) under Damnacanthus indicus. RNAcentral's name for it is "4.5S ribosomal RNA". The record is from RNAcentral. Lineage: Eukaryota; Viridiplantae; Streptophyta; Magnoliopsida; Gentianales; Rubiaceae.
GAAGGUCACGGCGAGACGAGCCGUUUAUCAUUACGAUAGGUGUCAAGUGGAAGUGCAGUGAUGUAUGCAGCUGAGGCAUCCUAACAGACCGGUAGACUUGAACCUUGUUCCUACAUGACCUGAUCAAUUCGAUCAGGCACUCGCCAUCUGUUUUCAUUGCUCAUUGUUCAAAUCCUUGACAACACGAAAAAACAUUGUUCAACUCUUUUUU